RNAcentral lists this non-coding RNA (102 nucleotides) under Alicyclobacillus sp. Its description in RNAcentral is "Guanine sequence". It matches the Rfam family "Purine riboswitch aptamer". From Rfam's summary of the family: Riboswitches are metabolite binding domains within certain messenger RNAs that serve as precision sensors for their corresponding targets. Allosteric rearrangement of mRNA structure is mediated by ligand binding, and this results in modulation of gene expression. The record is from RNAcentral. Lineage: Bacteria; Bacillati; Bacillota; Bacilli; Caryophanales; Alicyclobacillaceae.
UAGAAUUUGUUCUGCAAGCCUCGUAUAACGCUAGUAAUAAGGUCUGGCGGUUUCUACCAAGCAACCAUAAAUUGCUUGACUACGGGGAAAGUGGACGACAUC